GGGGCGGACGUAGCCAAGUGGCUCAAGGCAGUGGAUUG
This 38-nucleotide transfer RNA is filed under the name Gnetum gnemon. RNAcentral's name for it is "partial tRNA-His". The record is from RNAcentral. Lineage: Eukaryota; Viridiplantae; Streptophyta; Gnetopsida; Gnetales; Gnetaceae.